RNAcentral lists this ribosomal RNA (274 nucleotides) under uncultured bacterium. RNAcentral describes it as "partial 16S ribosomal RNA". It matches the Rfam family "Archaeal small subunit ribosomal RNA", at positions 473 to 747 of the family's 1478-position model. The record is from RNAcentral.
AAACCAGCACCUCAAGUGGUCAGGAUGAUUAUUGGGCCUAAAGCAUCCGUAGCCUGUUCUAUAAGUUUCCGGUUAAAUCCAUUAGCUCAACUAAUGGGCCGCCGAAAAUACUGUAGAACUAGGGAGUGGGAGAGGUAGACGGUAUUCGGUAGGAAGGGGUAAAAUCCUUUGAUCUAUUGAGGACCACCUGUGGCGAAGGCGGUCUACCAGAACACGUUCGGCGGUGAGGGAUGAAAGCUGGGGGAGCAAACCGGAUUAGAAACCCCGGUAGUCC